UACGAAGGGGGCUAGCGUUGCUCGGAAUUACUGGGCGUAAAGGGCGCGUAGGCGGCACUGUUAGUCAGGCGUGAAAUUCCUGGGCUCAACCUGGGGACUGCGCUUGAUACGGCAGAGCUUGAGGAUGGAAGAGGGUCGCGGAAUUCCCAGUGUAGAGGUGAAAUUCGUAGAUAUUGGGAAGAACACCAGUGGCGAAGGCGGCUCACUGGUCCGGUACUGACGCUGAGGUGCGAAAGCGUGGGGAGCAAACAGG
Molecule: ribosomal RNA, 253 nt
Filed under: uncultured bacterium
Lineage: Bacteria
Description: partial 16S ribosomal RNA
Rfam family: Bacterial small subunit ribosomal RNA
Source: RNAcentral